CCUAAAUGUCUAGCAUUAAAGGAAUAGUUGAGUAAAUAAUGAAAAAUAGACUGUAUUAUAAAGCAGCUGUUAUGGAUUGAAUUGUGCCCCCAAAAAUAAAAAAAUGUGUUGUAAAUACCUUAUAAUCCCAUUUGGGAAUGGGUGGUCUUUGUUAUGUUAAUGAGACAGGAUUAAUGUAGGGUGUGUUUUGAGUCAGUCUCUUACAAAAUACAAAAAGAGCAGAUUAGACAAGCAGAGAAGGGGUAAGAGAGAUGCCAAGCCACAGAAAGAUAGCCCAGGAGCUGAAGCUCAGAAGAGACAAGGACCUCCCCUAGAGCCAACAGACAGAAAGCCUUUCCCUAAAGCCAGCACCCUGAUUUCAGACUUCUAGCCUCCUAACUGUGAGAGAAUAAACUUCUGCUUUUAAAGCUGCCCACUUGUGGUAUUUCUGUUAUAGCAGCACUAGAUAACGAAGACAGCAGCCAUUAUAAAAAUUGACUUUUUGAAUAUUUUAACUAGACGGGGAAAUGCUGACAACAUGCUGAGUAGGAAAAGCAAGAACCAUGUAAAUUCAGCAUAAUCUCAACUCAGUUAAAAAGGCGUUAAAAAAAAAAAAAAGGGAAAUCUGGAAGAAAUAUCCCCAAUGUAUAUUACCAACAACAACAGCAAAAACAAACAAGCAAGCAAGCAAACAAACAAAUAAAUAAAUCAAAGAAAAAAGGAAAUAUCUCCAAAUGACAACUGUGGUUGCCUCUGAAGUUGAGAUUAUGGGAAAUUGCUCAUUUUCUGGACAUUUAUAUUUUCAUACUCUUUUCCAGUUUUCUGCAAUGAGCAUUUAUUACUUUGUAAUCUGAAAGAAAAAGAAAGUAAAAUACUGAGAAAACCAUGACACGCAUUGCUGGCAUGAGUCAGGAGCUGAAUUUUCAUGUUUAAAAUAGUUUCGGAAGCACAGGCGUGGUUUCUAGGCAACCUGCUUGGGAAAUCAUGUUCUUUUCCAUUAUCGCUGGAGUGUGCGAGAGUGUCUCAAAGAGAACGUAAGACGUAAACCCUUGUGAAAGCAGACUCCUGGAAGGAAAAGUAAGCUUUGCCACAAUGUUUUGGACACUGGGGCUUGAGUGAUAGUGAUCCCAGAGGCACUCAGGGGCCUGAGAUUUUUAUCUUAUUGGCAAAUUACUGUUUGAUUUUAAUGAGGCUUGCCAUAGGUGGGUACAGAUGGAUAUUCAAGUUUGCACACAGUGUGGGAAAUUGGGGUAGAAAACAAAAACCAGAGCUCAAUGGCUUUGUUGAGAAUCUAGGGUUGUGAAUUCAGGCAGUUACAAGGCUUUGUGAGACGGAUUGCCGCGCAAGGUGAAGAGACUGCCUCAUCAUCGCGUGAGCCAUUUAUUUUCAUCACAGAUAAUCCUGCUGAGCCAAAGGGCUUUUAAUCAGGAGGAAACACUGAAGAGUGGAAUCAGGGCUAAGAAUCCCUGGGUUGGUGGAGGGCUGUAGAAGAUGGGCUGAGUUAACAAAGUCUUUUAGCUUAGAGGAGGACGUGUUCUUUACUAAGGGUUUGCAGAAGGCGCGAAAGGUAUUGGUUGCAGCUCCCGGUGUAUGUUUUGCUGACCUUGAGUGCAAUUUUCAGCAAGAACUAAAGGGUUUUGGUCUAUGAAUAGGGUAAGAGCUCAGCUUCUCACUCCGAGGCCUCCUUGUGGUUGUCUUUGGUAAUGAUAAAAAAGUGAAGUGACUUAAAGUAAACAGCAGGUGUUUUGGAUAAUGACAGCCCUUGACUAAGGGUUUACUGCAUUUGAACUUUCACCUCUCAGACUCGAUCAAAGCUCAAGUGCGAGGCUGAAAAUCGGGAACUCUGACCCCAGAAGGGGUGGACACACUUCUUCACAGGAAGUGAGGCAGGAGGGCAGGAAUCUUUCAAAGUAGAUGCUGAAGAGCCUACUGGUCUACAAGACACUACACACACGUCCUGCAUUCCACUUAAUAAUGGAUCCCUGGGUCUGACCAUCCCUUCCUUAAGAUGACAAACACCUUGGAGCCUAAAGAAAGGUCAGACUGCUCUGGUGAGAACGCCACCAGUAAGAGACUUCAGCCUCCUUUUAGUCAGUCCAAUGUCCUCUCCCUUCUCUGAACUCCUGGUCGGAACCUCUCAUUUGGCAGUGGAUCACCCCUGUGGGUUGAGACCAAUUGAUGCAUCUUAGAUGGCCGCUUGCUAGCUUUGAAGACCCCAGACACCUCUCUCCAAGGUGUGAAAUCUAGUCCUACAAACCAGUGAAGGAGUUAGCUCCUCGCAGACCCUCCUGGAAUCGUCCGUUUUGGUUUUCAGGAUUGUGCUCUUUUAGGCAUAGAUCUGCCUAAGAGCUGGUUUUGAAAACAGCAAAUUUCACACAUGAUGUAUCUUCAGUUGCCUGUGCAGGGACCUGCAGGGAGUUUACAGAGACACCUGGUGGCUGGUUUGACUAAGUACCCUAGCUUUGCUAACCCUUUAACAAAUUGAAUUGUGUCUAAAAUGGGGUUUGUUUUUGUGGUUGAGAAUUCCAUUCUUUCUUCUGAUUCUUUUAGGAAGAUUUCAGUUAUAUAUUUAAGAAGUAUACUUUUAUUUAUUUAUUUAUUUAGGUUAUUUGUUUAACCUCCAGCCUUUCUUUCUUAAAGAAACCAUCAGCCAGGUGAAUUGACCAGCCUGAUCAGCUGGGAUAAAUAUAAUCACCCAUUGCAAUCAAGUCAAUUCUGACCCAUAGCAACCCUACAGGACAGAGUAGAACUGCCCCAUACGGUUUCCAAAAAGCACCUGGUGGAUUUGAACUGCUGACAUUUUGGUUAGCAGUCACAGCGCUUAACCACUCUACCACCAGGUUUUCCCCAUAUCCCUAAGCCAAAAAAAAGAAAAAACCAAACCCGUUGCUGUCCAGUUGAUUCUGACUCAUAGCAACCCUAAGUAGACCUUAAAUUCAGAAACCAAAGGUGAGUGAGGAGUGAAGAAAAGGUAAUGGUGGAUUUUUCUCCCUGGAAAUGUAUGGUAUAAAACACAGGCUGACAAACUGAAAGGCCGGAUAGCAAACAUCUUAGGCUUUGUGGGCCAUAUGGUCUCUGCUGCAGCUACUCAGCUCUGCCAUUGUGGUGUAAAAGUUGCCUUGCUGUUGUUGUUAGGUGCUGCUGAGUGGAUUCUGACUCGUAGCAACCCCAUGUGACAAGGUAGGGUUUUCUUGGCUGUAAUCUUUAUGGAAGCUGACCACCAGGUCUUUUUUCUCCCAUGGAGCUGUUGGGUGGGUUUUCACAGCCAACCUUUUGGUCAGCAGCUGAGUGCUUAACCUUUGCACCACCAGUGCUUCUUAAAGGUAGCCAUGGGUAAUACUAAAAUAAUGGGUAUGACUAUGUUCCAAUAAAACUUUAUUCAUAAAAACAUUGGCCCAUGGGCUAUAGUUUGCCAAUGCUUGGCAAAGAGGACAGUUUAUGAACUCAGGAGGUGGUACACAUAGGUUUAAAUCAUAGCUCCUCUACUUACCAGCUAUGUGACUUGGGCAAAGCAUCUAGCCUCUCUAAACCUUGCUUUCUCCCCUGUGUAGUUGGAAUAAUAAAACCUACCUCAUGAGGUUGUUGUGAAGAUUAAAAGAGCCAGCAGAGACUAGGGUGAGUGAGGUACUCACCUCAGGGAAAAAAUUAAGGAAACACCAAAAACUGAGUAGUGAAGACAGAUAAUAUUUCAAUGCAAUAUUUUAAAAAAUAAAAGUUAAUUCAAAAACUUCACGGUGAACAAAAUAUCAAAAUUUCAAAGAAACACGGCAUCAUAAUCUGAGUACUCUGGAGGAGCAAAACCAGUGAGACGUAUAUAGACAUUUAGAGAGAAAUUUACUUCAAGGAAAUGGCUCAUGCAAUCACAGGGGCUGGCAAGUCCCAAAUCUGUGGGCCAGGUGGCAAGCUGAAGGCUUCUGCUGGUUCAUGUGGUUGCAGGGACUGGCGAACUCAAAAUCUGCAGGUCAGGUGGCAGACUGAAGGCUUCUCAUGUCCCCAAAACCAGAGAUCAAGUGACAAGAAGAGUGCAGGAUCAAAAGAGAGGAAGCUUUGCCAGAACAUCCAUUUUUAUACUGGAGGCGGGCCCCACUCCCAAGGAAAAUACCCUUUCAACUGAUUGCUGCUCACAUCAGAGCACGAAAUGGAAAGUGAUUGCAUAGUGUCUGCAAAACCACUGAGAAUCAAAGUCUAGCCAAGUUGACAUAUAACAUUAACCAUCACGUCACAGACAGGAUAAGUAUUAAUGAUUUUUUCUUUUAUUUCAAGUUUCUAUGUGGCUCAGAAAGGUACUGAAAAGAGCUAAUGUACCCGAGGGCCUAGCCCCUAACCUGGCUUGUACAUAGUCAGUAAAUCUAUGACCCCUAUCCCCACCCCACCCCCACUAUGAUUUCCCUUGUCCUUUCUGUCAUUCUCUUAGUCUCUUCUCAUUUAUAUCAGGUAUGAGGCCCUGGGAGGUGCAAACAUUUAAGUGCUCUGCUACUAACCAAAAGGUUGGCAGUUUGAAUCCAACCAGAAGUGCCUGGAAAGAAAGGCCUGGCAAUCUGCUUCUGAAAGGUCACAGAUAUGAAAACCAUAUGGAGCACAGUUCUACCCUGAAACACAUGAGUUCUCCAUGAGUUGGAAUUGACUGGACAGCAACAGGUGUCGCAUAAGGAAGAUCGAAGAAGGAUUGACACCUUUGAAUUGUGGUGUUGGCGAAGAAUAUUGAACAUACCAUGGACUGCCAAGAGAACGAACAAAUCUGUCUUGGAAGAAGUACAACCAGAAUGCUCCUUGGAAGCAAGGAUGGCAAGACUACGUCUCACGAACUUUGGACAUGUUGUCAGGACAGAUCAGUCCCUGCAGAACGACUUCAUGCUUGAUAAAGUACAGGGUGAGCGGAAAAGAGGAAGACCUUCAAUGAGGUGGAUUGACACAGUGGCUGCAAUAGUGGGCUCAAGCAUAGCAACGAUUGUGAGGAAGGAGCAGGACCGGGCAGUGUUUUGUUCUGUUGUGCGUAGGGUCACUAUGAGUUGGAACUGACUCGACAGCACCUAACAACAAAUACGUGUUGGAAUCCUAACCCCUAUACUUGUGGAUGUAAUGUAAUGUAGUGUAAUGUAGUGUAGUGUAGUGUAAUGUAAUGUAGUGUAGUGUAGUGUAGUGUAGUGUAGUGUAGUGUAGUGUAGUGUAGUGUAAUGUAAUGUAAUAUAAUCACUUUCCAUAAUGCAAUCUAAUGUAAUGUAAUCAAUCAGCUAGUUGAGGUCAUGUCAGUGUAGGGUAGAUCCUACACCUAAUCCCUUCUGAGUUAAAAAAUAGCAGAUUAGACACAGAGGCAUGCACACAUGGGGGAUGAGGAAGACAGAUGACUGAGACAGAUGCAUCUGUAAGCCUAGGAAUGCCAAGGAUUGCUGUCAACUAUUAGAGGCUGAAAUAGAUGAAGAAGAACCUCCCCCUAGAGCCACACCCUGAAUUCAGAUUUCUAGCCUCCUGAAUUCUGAGAAAAUAAACUCCUGUUCUUGAAAGCUAUCCACUUGUAUUUCUGUUACAGCAGCACUAGGAAGCUAAGAUAACUCCCAAAAUAGCCUGGAAAAGGUAUCAGUUCGGUGCGCAUGGUGCUGCCGCUGCAGUUCUCAAUUCCUCUUCAUGAGGAUAAGCAACCUUAAACUAGCCUUAAACUAGCAUGCAGCUGUUAACAAGAGGGCCCCCUCCUGCCUGCUCUUGGGCUUGCAUUUCAUUUCACUCUUGCUUUGUCAUCAUAGGGAAGGGGGUUGCAAAUAGCAGGAAAAUAUUGUGCAACUGGAGUCAUAUAAGCUGCCAUGAAAAGAGGAAGUAAAGCCAGUGGGGUGAAAAAAAACAGGAGUGACAAAGGAACAGAAACUGAACAGCAAAGGAAAAUCGCAGAAAAGCCACAACAAGCAAGUAGCCCAACAAGGAGGCAAGGAGGGCCCCAAGGAUGGGGGCCUCUCAGUUCAUGGUGAAGAAAGACCUUGGAAAUAAGAGGAAGCCAGGAGAUACUCACCCUGUGCAACUGCGUAAAGUGUUGUGGCUUUCAAAUAUAUUCCCUUAGGGGGUUUCAAGGCGAAUAGCUUGCACCCUCUGACAAAGCACUGACAUCAGAGCCGGUUACAGUCCCCAGAUCAUUCGCCUGGGCAUAUUGGAUACCCUGUGUCAUGUAUCAGCUGUUCUCCUGACCCAGAAAACUGCAUGUCCCUUGUCUCCUGCUAAUGUGUCUUUAUGAGCUUGGCUCUUUAUUCUGUUGGGAAUUUACAGGGUUUCUUUUACCAAAGGAAUCAUAGUAAUAUUUACUGAGUACCUGCUAUAUGCCAAGUAUGUGUGAGGCACUUUGUUUUCUCUUUAAUCCUCACGAUAACCCUUUUAGGUAAGUAUUAUAGUUCUCAUUUUUACAAAUAAGAAAACAAAUUCAGAGGAAUUAUGUGACUUGCUCAAGUUCACUUAGCUAGUAAGUGUUGGCCUCAGGAUUUGAGCCUGAGUAUGGAUGAGGAUAACUCCUGUGUCCUUAUGUUCUUUCUAUUGCAGCAGGUCAGCAAAGACAUGGGGCAGAUGCCUCCACACCUUCCUCUUGCAUCCAUGGUGAAUGCUGCUAGUUGAUUUUGGUGGUUGUUCUCCUUGAGCUAGGACUGUAUAUAAGUCACACACAUAGAUGUGUAUAUAUAUCUAGUGCUGCUAUAACAGAAAUACCACAAGUGGAUGGCUUUAACAAAGAGAAAUGUAUUUCUUCACAGUAAAAUAGGCUAAAAGUCCAAUUCAGGAUGUCAGCUCCAGGGGAAGGCUUUCUCUCUCUGUUGACCUUCUCAUCAGUCUUCCCCCAGACUAGGAGCUUCCUGGCACAGGUACCCUGAUUCAAAAGGAUGCACUCUGCUCCCAACACUGCUUUCUUGGUGGUAUGAUGUCCCCCGUCUCUGGUUGCUUCUUUCUUUUAUAUCUCAAGAGUUUGCCUCAAGAUGAAAUCCAAUCUUGUAGAUUGAGUCCUGCCUCACUAACACAACUGCCACCCAUCCUCCUUUAUUAACAUGAUAGAGGCAGGAUUUACAACAUAUAGGAAAAUCACACAAUACUGAGAAUCAUGGCCCAGCCAAACUUACACCCACGUAUUUGGGGGGACAUAAUUCAAUCCAUGACAAUCUGUAUAUAAACCCAACCCAUUGCCAUUCGGUUGAUUCCGACUCAUAGCAACCGUAUUGGACAGAGUAAGACUGCCCCACAGGAUUUCCAAGGAGCCUCUGGAGGAUUUGAGCUGCCAACCUUUUGGUUAGCAGCUGAGCUCUUAAUGACUACACCACCAGGGCUCCAUAUAUAUGCAUAUAGAGAAGUAUGAGUUUGUGGUCCGUAUGCUCCAGGAAUUUUGCUUUGACAUAGGUUAACCCAUAAUACAGCAGUAGACUAACAACUGAGGCCCAGAAAUAAUACCCUUGUAGGAAAUAUAGCCAUCACUCUUUGUCUGAGAGCUAGCCUUUCCCCUGUUCUUUCACCUAACUUUGUAAUUCCAUAGAUUCCUUUCCUCAUUUUAGAUGUCACUCAUUUAUUCAAUCAGUAGGUAUCCUCUGCAUGUCUGGAAGCACAGCACAACAAGACAAAGUCCCGGCUCUUAUGGAACUUAAUUUCUGGCAGUACGUAAACACAUACACGUCAGCUGGUCAUAGUGCUAUGAAAAAAGUAAAGCAAGGACAAUGAAUACAGAAGAUGUGGUAUUACUGUUAUGGAUUGAAUUGUGUCCCCCCAAAAGAAUUCCUAGACCUUGUACCUGUGAAUGUGACCUUGUUUUGGAAGUAGAGUUCUUCUUUGAUGACACUAUUAGUUAAGGAUGUCUUGCUAGUGUAGGGCUGGUCUUAAUUCCUUGUUGUUAUUGUUGUGUGCCUGUCCAGUAGAUUCCAACUUGUAGCAACCCCACAUGACAGAGUAGAACUGCCCUAUAGGAUUUUCUAGGCUGUAAUCUUUACAAGAGCAGAUCGCCAGUUCUUUCUCCCGUGGAGCUGCUGGGUAGGUUCGAACCACUAACAUUUUGCUUAGCAGUAGAGCACUUAACUGUUGCACCACCGGGGCUCCUUUCAAUCCCUUCUUAGUAGUGGUGUCUUAUAAGAGGGAAGAACAGGAGAGAGAAUCACACAGGGAAAGACAGGCACCAUGAGCAGGUGCAUCUAAAAGCCAAGGAAUGCCAAGUGAUUCUUGAGUCUACCGGAAGCCGGAAGAGACAAGGCAGGAUCUUCCCCAAGAGUGAACAUUGAGUGCACGACCCUGCCAAUGCUCUGAAUUCAGAUUUCUAGCCUCCAGAGCUGAGAGACAAUAAAUUCCUUCUAAUUAAACCCACCCACUUUGUGGUAGUUUUGUUACGGCAGCCUUCAAAAAAAAAAAAAACAAAAAAAAACCCAUUGCCAUCGAGUUGAUUCAGACUCAUAGCGACCCUAUAGGACAGAGUAGAACUGCCCCACAGGGUUUCCAAGGAGUGCCUGGUGGAUUCGAACUGCCAACCUUUUGGUUAGCAGCCAUAGUGCUUAACUACUUUACUGCCAGGGUUUCCAUGGCAGCCUUAGGGAACUAAAACAGUUUUUUACGUAGGGUUGUCAGGGAAGGGCCUUCCAAUAAGGUGGCAUUUGGGCUGAAACAAGAAGGAAGGGAGAGAGAGAGAAAUCCAGAAGGAUAUGGGGCAAGGGUGUCCCAGGCUGAGGAAACAGAGAGGGCAAAAGCCCAGAGCAGGAGUGGCAUAGUGAGUUUGUGGAAUCGCAGAGGCAAGUAAGUGUGAUUGAGUGGAGCUAGCAAGAGGGAGAGAGUUAGCAAUGAAAAGUCAGGGGGAGAAAUGUAGAAGCCUGGAGUCACUGGUAAGGAUUUUACUCUGAGUGAGAUGAGAAUUCACUGGACGACUGAGCGGAGCGGUGACUUGAUUCAAUCUGUGUUUUAAAACUAUGGUCUGAACCUUGAAAACAUUAUGCUGAGUGAAGAUAAGUCAUUCACAAAAGGACAAAUAUUGUAUGAUACCACUUAUCUGAAAUAUCUAGAACAGGAAAAUGUAUAGAAACCAAGGUUUAUUAGUGUUUACUAGAGGAAAGAGGGAGGGGAGAAGGUGAGAGUAUUGCUUAGCGGGCACCGAGUUUCUGUUAAGUGUGCUGGAAUAAUUUGGAAAUGGAUAGUGGUGAUGGCUGUACAACACAAUAAGUGUAUUCAAUGUCACUGAAUUGCAUGUGUAAAAAAUGUUGAAUUGGCAAAUGUUUUGUUUUAUAUAUAUAUGUAUUUAUCACAGUUAAUAAGAUACACACACACACAAAUACAAACUACCGCUUGGCUAGUAUAUGGGGAACAGAGUGUAGGGGUCAAUGUUUGUUGUUAGGAGACAAGAACAGGGGUGCAGAUGAGAGUCUGCAAAGGUUUGAAUCAGAUUGACAAAGGGAUGGUGAAGGAGCAAAAAGUGGCUGGAUUCCAGAUAAGUUUUGAAGGUAGAGUAAUCAGGAUUCAUUGACAGAUGGGAUGUGAGGUAUGAGGAAGAGAGGAGUCAAGGAUGACGCACAGGAAUUUGACCUGUUUUAAGUCAUGGUUAGAAAAAUUCAAGAGUUGGAUGCUUCCUUCAUGAUGCUCAGAAGCACAAGAGAAGCUGUAUUGCUGGGUUUUACUAGGCAGAGUUUUCCAGUCCUGCACACUUCUGACAUUGCUAGAGUACCGUGGGGAAACAGGGAGACACAGUGAUGUACAGUUCCAAAAAGAGGAAUUGGCCUCCAACCAGAUGCCAGCACCACACUGAGAUAUGUAGCCCAUGGUUCCCAUUUUCCCAGGAGAUCUUCCCUUGUUCCCAAAUCCUUCUGGUUCUGAUUUAAUCUGUAGUUCUUCAAACCAAAUUAACGUGAGUACAACCGAAGAAUUGGGGUCCCAAUCGUAGAAACAAAACAAUGCUCUGGGCCUCGAGUCCUCCUAGUGAAAUUACUAUAGCCCUGCCCUAUAAACUCCAUCUGUCGCAUUUAUGGGAACCUCUGUGGGACUCAGUGUACUUCUGAAACACUUCCCUGUUAUUCAUUGCUGUCACCCCCUGGCCUGGCUGAAGCCACAGUUUCUAUCAUGACUGGAUAUGUUACCCAUAUUGGGGACUCUAAUCCUUGUCCAUGUCUCUAACAUCACUAUUUGGAAGUGAGAAGGCCUACGGACUUCCAGUCAUCAAACAGGCUGCCAUGCACUCUCCAGUUCCCAUGCGCCUCUGGCUCGUCAUUGGAAAGGUUCCUUCUGUACAUUACAGUGCCCUCUCUAGGAAUUUGGCACGAGGCCCCUGGGAGCCUGCUCUGAAAGACAGUUUGAAUUUAACCGGUUGAGCUAUACUCAGUGUCAGCCCUGGCCCCACCAGGCAUCUGCCCAAAUGAAGCUUGUGCAAUGUGACUCUGUUCCCUUCAGGCCAUGCUCCUUCUUCAUCGUUAACUCUGCUAAUCUAUUUCUUAGUUUGGGCUUGGUUAAAUUUGCUGGAGUCUGGUUAAGUUUGUUUGAGCCUGGUUAAGCGGGUUUACGGAGUUGAUGGCCUAGAUUAGGGGUCAGCAAACUAUGGCUCACUGACUAUUUUUGUAAAUAAAGCUUUAUUGGAACACAGCUGAACUCCUUUACGUAUGUAUUGCUUAGUUGCUUUCAUGCUGCAGUGGCAGAGAUGAGUGGUUGCUACAGAGACCAUAUGGCCUGCAAAGCUGGAAGUAUUUACUAUCCGACUUUUCAUAGAAAGAGUUUGUCAAUGCCUGUAAUAGAUUUAGCUAAGCCAAUUCUCACAACUUAAAAAGACUACUACAGAAGUAAAUAAAUAAUUCCAACAGGCUUCUUCAUAGAAAUGGGAAAGCCAAUCCUUAAAUUUACAAAUUUACUUAUUGCUGUUAAGUAAGUAAAUAGAUAAAUAAAUCUAUUGUGAACUGAUUGUAAUAUCAACACUGCAAUUAGAAGGGAUAAUAAGAAAAUGGCAGUACUGAUAUUUUCCUAUCCAUAGUACAAGUUGCUUGUCAGAUAAAAGUCAUGCUCUAAUCAGAUCUGUGAAAAAGCUGGGAGAGAGAAUGAGACCACACUAGAUAGAUAGAUACAUAGAUAGAUUAAGGGAUGAAUAGAUACCAAACCAAACCAAACCCAUUGCUGUUGAGUUGAUUCCAACUCAUAGGAAAGAGUAAAGCUGCUUCAUAGGGCUUCCAAGGCUGUAAAAUCUUCAUGGAAACAGACUGCCACAUUUUUCUCUCACAGAGCGGCUGGUAAAUUUGAACUGCCAACUUUUCAGUUAGCAGUUGAGCACUUUAACCACUGUGCCACCAGGGCUUCUUAGAUAGAUAGAUAUAGACAGAUAGACAGAUGACAGAUAGGUAGAUAGAUAGACAGACAAUCAGACCUAAAUAAAGAGUACAAUUGUGGUUACAGGUCACAUGCUCAAUUUUUUUUUUUUUUUUAACUGAUGGGCUACAUGUUUCCCCCUUAAUUUGCACUUCUUAUGGUUAAACACUGUUCUUAGAAUUUCACAUACAUUAACUCAUUUAAUCCUCAAAACAACCCUAAGAGGUAGGCACUGUUAUAAAUUAUCCCAUUUUAUAGAUGAAGAAACUGAGACACAGAGAGUUUACUUAAUUAGCCCAAAGUCACACAGCUAGAAAAUGGCAGGCCAGGGAUUGGAGUCCAAGCAGUUUGACUCCAGAGUCUAUGCUCUUAAACUCUAUGCUAUAUUAGCUUUCUUGAUUAAGAAAACAAAGACAGAAAAAAAAAUUUUUCCAAGAGCACUGGCUUAGUGGGUUGUCUUGUUGGCACAACUAGGCACUCCAGCCAACACCCUUUAUCCCAAAAUCUGGUUCGUAUGACUACCCCAGAUGCUAGAGGUGCAUGGUGAAAAGAUUUUGGAGGCCAUUCCAUUAGAGAAAAGGAGCCCUGGGUAAGCACCGGGCUGCUAACUGAAAGGUUGAUGGUUUGAACCCACCAGCAGCUCUGCUGAAAAAACCUAGCAAUCUGCUCCCGUAAAGAUUACAGCCUAGGAAUCCCUAUAGGGCAGUUCUACUCUGUCCUAAACGGUCACUAUGAGUUGGAACCCACCUGAGGGCACACAACAAUAACCAUUAAAAGAACUUUGAAUUUUUGGUUUCAAGACAUAAACCCACGAUGAAGCCAUCAAGUUUAGAAAGCAGCAAUGAAAUAGGUCCUCAGGCCUGGAGACAUAUCUGGUUAUCUCCUGAGAUUUCAACGAGUUGUGAAGCAUUGGUUAGCAAGUGUCACAGCCCUGCCCUGCCAAGAAUUCGGGCUCCUGAGGAAGGCUGAGUCUCUGGCUUGGUUUCUGUUGGGGAACUAACAUCCUUUCCUGCCUACACCCCCUCACCCCCCAUGUGGUACAGGCUGAAAUCGAAGAGCAUUUCUAAGCCUCUGCCUUCCCCACUGCUGUUCUGGUUGUGCAGAGCACUCCACGGAGAGUCAGAGGGGAAUGGCUAGCCUGGAUAGCCACGUCUCCUUGAGAAAACUGAGUAACUUGGUGAGCUUCCAUUUUUUUCUCUAUAAAUUGAGUGAGCUCAGCGAGAUUGUCUCCAAGAGCUCUUAAUUGGUUAAAAAUGUUCUGAUUCUGUUUAACGAGAUGUGGAAAAUAUUCAUGUUGUAUUUAUUGAUGAAAAAAUCCUUUGCAAAACAUUAUGUUUGACUUUUGCUAUUUUUAUUUUAAAAUGCAUGUAGCAGGAUGAAGGUACCUGUGCUUCUUACCUCCUAUGUCCUUCCCACAGAAACCCUGGUGGCAUAGUGGUUAUGAGCUACAGCUGCUAAUCAAAAGAUGGACAGCUGGAAUCGCCCAGGUGCUCCUUGGAAACUCUAAGGGGCAAUUCUGCUCUGUCCUAUAGAGUCACUAUGAGUUGGAAUUGACUCCGCCGCAAUGAGUUUUUGUUUUUGUUUUUGGUCCUUCCCACACCCCAUGCUGCUGGCAAAUACAGUGAAACCUGUGAAAGCCGGAACCUGUGCAAGACAGAAACCUGUCCGAGAAAGAAAACUCAAAUAUUUUCCACUUAAAUAGUGAUAGAAAACUGGUGACUGCACCCUGUCAAAGGUGGAAAACUUUUGAGAUCUGAUAAAACGAGGGAGUCCUGUCGAGUUCUGGAUCUCACCGUUUUCACUGUAAUUCAGUAAGAUAGUUUUUCAGGCAGGAGCUCUACUGCAGGGAAUGAGAGGCUAGGCUGGGAAGACUCAACCCCAGUGGGCAAAGGGUUCUCAGCAGCUUCAACCAAGAAGAGUUGAGGGAACUCUGAGGGGAGGACUUCUUGUUACCGUGUGCAGUCAAGUUGAUUCUGACUCAUAGCAACUCUAUAUGACAGAACAGAACUGCCCCAUAGGGUUUCCAGGAGACCCUGGUGGCCUAGUGGUUAAGU
Loxodonta africana (African savanna elephant) is the source of this 13298-nucleotide long non-coding RNA. RefSeq lists it as uncharacterized. The record is from RefSeq and is a predicted model, not a curated record. The transcript is spliced from 6 exons. Lineage: Eukaryota; Metazoa; Chordata; Mammalia; Proboscidea; Elephantidae.